CCCUUUUGGUUAAGUAGCUAUCAAACCAAACAAAAUUGAAUGGCUUUCGCUGUCGCUUUCCUUCAACUCCACUUUCUUAGGUGGCUAAAGCAGCAAGGAGUGUUGCUGGUCCAACUCGUAUUAGCUAUCGAGAGCCGUACUUACCUUCCCGCUCGCCACAAGUAAUCGCUACAGAAAGCACCACAGCCACAGGCACAGUAACCGGAACAGCAACUGGUCUUUUCUCACUCUCCCUGUAGUCAAGACGGACGUAGGGAGUAUUAUGACCGGCUUCACUGACGUCUGCUUUCGUCUCUCGUCCUUCGCUCGCUAUGCUUCCUAGUAGGUAUGAUGCCCAGCAACAGGCGCACAAGUAGAACUAGGCUUAUUGGUCCACUGGUUGUAGCAACAGGAGCUGGAGCAGGUCGUCGAAGAGCCUAUUACUCGCUCUCGUAUGUAUAUAGCUAUCGUCGCGUAUAUUUUUUGUAACUCCCCUCUGGUUAGCAAGCAACUGUAACCUUACCUUCGAAAGGGGAAGCCUACUCAUCCAUAAGCUCCUACUCUUCCUAACUUGACCUUCUCGAGCUGCCUGGCACAAGAGCAAGCGCUGUACUCCAUCCGCACCCGUCCCUGCCACCCGCCACAGAAAGAGCUACACAAGCAUAGUAACCUUCGAGCGGAAUACGCGAGCCCAGUGAGUUGAAUAGGAAAGAAAGUCCUCGAGAAGGGAUUGAUGGAUCGUUUCACUUGCUACUCAUAUUGGUGGAAAAUGAAGAAAACCAGAUCUCACUCGCAAGAUGCUAUUGAAAAACUGCUUGAAACUAUUCCCUUUGACGAUUGAAUCAACCUUUAUGGUCCCAUAUUUAGUACUUCCUGAACUGAGAAAAACGAUUUUCAUGGUCACUAACACCGAGUUCAGUCCCUCACGGGUUAAAGCUUUAGCCGGCGACUCAUAGGCCCAACUUN
Molecule: long non-coding RNA, 945 nt
Filed under: Amborella trichopoda
Lineage: Eukaryota; Viridiplantae; Streptophyta; Magnoliopsida; Amborellales; Amborellaceae
Description: long non-coding RNA (ATRI_LNC002859)
Source: RNAcentral